RNAcentral lists this unclassified non-coding RNA (413 nucleotides) under soil metagenome. Its description in RNAcentral is "partial contains 5.8S ribosomal RNA, internal transcribed spacer 2, and large subunit ribosomal RNA". The stretch from base 1 to 120 matches the Rfam family "5.8S ribosomal RNA", at positions 35 to 154 of the family's 154-position model. The record is from RNAcentral.
GAUGAAGAACGUAGCGAAAUGCGAUAAGUAAUGUGAAUUGCAGAAUUCAGUGAAUCAUCGAAUCUUUGAACGCACCUUGCGCUCUUUGGUAUUCCGAAGAGCAUGCCUGUUUGAGUGUCAUGAAAAUAUCAACCUUGACUUGGGUUUUGUGCUCUAGUCUCGGCUUGGAAUUGGGUGCUUGCCGCUUUUACGAGCGGCUCACCUUAAAUGUAUUAGCUGGAUCUGUCUUUGAGACUUGGUUUGACUUGGCGUAAUAAGUAUUUUGCUAAGGACAUUCUUCGGAGUGGCCUCGUUUCUAGGACGCUUGUCCGCUUUCCAAUACAAGUUCCACCUCGUGGACAUGACUUUUUAUUAUCUGGCCUCAAAUCAGGUAGGACUACCCGCUGAACUUAAGCAUAUCAAUAAGCGGAGGA